Molecule: ribosomal RNA, 433 nt
Filed under: uncultured bacterium
Lineage: Bacteria
Description: partial 16S ribosomal RNA
Rfam family: Bacterial small subunit ribosomal RNA
Source: RNAcentral
AACGAACGCUGGCGGCAUGCCUAACACAUGCCAGUCGAACGAGACCUUCGGGUCUAGUGGCGCACGGGUGCGUAACGCGUGGGAACCUGCCCUUAGGUUCGGAAUAACUCCCCGAAAGGGGUGCUAAUACCGGAUAAUGUCUUCGGACCAAAGAUUUAUCGCCUUUGGAUGGGCCCGCGUUGGAUUAGCUAGUUGGUAGGGUAAAAGCCUACCAAGGCGACGAUCCAUAGCUGGUCUGAGAGGAUGAUCAGCCACACUGGGACUGAGACACGGCCCAGACUCCUACGGGAGGCAGCAGUGGGGAAUAUUGGACAAUGGGCGAAAGCCUGAUCCAGCAAUGCCGCGUGAGUGAUGAAGGCCUUAGGGUUGUAAAGCUCUUUCACCCGGGAUGAUAAUGACAGUACCGGGAGAAUAAGCUCCGGCUAACUCCGUG